This 253-nucleotide ribosomal RNA is filed under the name bacterium. RNAcentral describes it as "partial 16S ribosomal RNA". It matches the Rfam family "Bacterial small subunit ribosomal RNA", at positions 524 to 776 of the family's 1533-position model. RNAcentral also lists the same sequence under 2 other names. The record is from RNAcentral.
UACGAGGGGAGCUAGCGUUAUUCGGAAUUACUGGGCGUAAAGCGCACGUAGGCGGCUUUGUAAGUUAGAGGUGAAAGCCCAGAGCUCAACUCUGGAAUUGCCUUUAAGACUGCAUCGCUUGAAUCCAGGAGAGGUGAGUGGAAUUCCGAGUGUAGAGGUGAAAUUCGUAGAUAUUCGGAAGAACACCAGUGGCGAAGGCGGCUCACUGGACUGGUAUUGACGCUGAGGUGCGAAAGCGUGGGGAGCAAACAGG